Molecule: transfer RNA, 71 nt
Filed under: Marmota monax (woodchuck)
Lineage: Eukaryota; Metazoa; Chordata; Mammalia; Rodentia; Sciuridae
Description: tRNA.Val
Source: RNAcentral
GGGGUUGUGGAUCAGUGGUAGAGCCCUCACCCAACACCUGGGAGGCCCUGAGUUCGAUCCUUAGAACCACA